Molecule: long non-coding RNA, 215 nt
Filed under: Lathyrus oleraceus (garden pea)
Lineage: Eukaryota; Viridiplantae; Streptophyta; Magnoliopsida; Fabales; Fabaceae
Description: Pisum sativum (pea) long non-coding RNA (PSAT_LNC041786)
Source: RNAcentral
AAGGGAAAGUCUUAUGUCAUGUCACUUAUAAAUGUAGAGAUAUCAUUUGACGUGCCAGAAUCUAGAACAUCGUUAGUUGUUUUCAAGAAAUGUCAUCUUCGCCAUUCCCUAAAUGGAUAAGUAAAAUCAAGGGACAUCAAGUAAUUGUGAAGUUCAUGUUCAUGAAGGAUGAAAAAUUUGAUGAGGAGGAUGUCUUAAAAAGGCCUCCACUAAAU